GACGUAGGGCGCGAGCGUUGUCCGGAUUUAUUGGGCGUAAAGAGCUCGUAGGCGGCUUGUCGCGUCGUUCGUGAAAACCUGCAGCUCAACUGCAGGCUUGCGGUCGAUACGGGCAGGCUAGAGUUCGGUAGGGGAGACUGGAAUUCCUGGUGUAGCGGUGAAAUGCGCAGAUAUCAGGAGGAACACCGGUGGCGAAGGCGGCUCACUGGACCAUAACUGACGCUGAUGCACGAAAGCUGGGGGGAGCAAACAGG
RNAcentral lists this ribosomal RNA (254 nucleotides) under uncultured bacterium. RNAcentral's name for it is "partial 16S ribosomal RNA". It matches the Rfam family "Bacterial small subunit ribosomal RNA", at positions 524 to 776 of the family's 1533-position model. The record is from RNAcentral.